UGAUGCCUUGAUCUGACUGUUUGGAUGUAGAUCAACCCUUGAUUUGUUGCAACACACUUGACUAUCGACGUGCUGCCUUCUUCUUCCUCCGAUGCAAAUCUGGAUCUUCCAACACUUGGGUCUUCUAGAUGAUGGAUGCCCAACACCUUGGGUGUAUAGACAAUAGCGUGUAGAGGCUAGGCGUGUGAGAGGAGGGAGAGGGAUGGUG
RNAcentral lists this long non-coding RNA (208 nucleotides) under Elaeis guineensis (African oil palm). RNAcentral's name for it is "long non-coding RNA (EGUI_LNC036531)". Lineage: Eukaryota; Viridiplantae; Streptophyta; Magnoliopsida; Arecales; Arecaceae. The record is from RNAcentral.